Molecule: microRNA, 22 nt
Filed under: Pristionchus pacificus
Lineage: Eukaryota; Metazoa; Nematoda; Chromadorea; Rhabditida; Neodiplogasteridae
Description: ppc-miR-8292-5p
Source: miRBase by way of RNAcentral
UGUUUGGCCAGCUCGUGAUCGA